AUUGAACGCUGGCGGCAGGCUUAACACAUGCAAGUCGAGCGGGGGAAGGUAGCUUGCUACUGGACCUAGCGGCGGACGGGUGAGUAAUGCUUAUGAAUCUGCCUAUUAGUGGGGGACAACAUCUCGAAAGGGAUGCUAAUACCGCAUACGUCCUACGGGAGAAAGCAGGGGAUCUUCGGACCUUGCGCUAAUAGAUGGGCCUAAGUCGGAUUAGCUAGGUGGUGGGGUAAAGGCCUACCAAGGCGACGAUCUGUAGCGGGUCUGAGAGGAUGAUCCGCCACACUGGGACUGAGACACGGCCCAUACUCCUACGGGAGGCAGCAGUGGGGAAUAUUGGACAAUGGGGGGAACCCUGAUCCAGCCAUGCCGCGUGUGUGAAGAAGGCCUUAUGGUUGUAAAGCACUUUAAGCGAGGAGGAGGCUACUUUAGUUAAUACCUAGAGAUAGUGGACGUUACUCGCAGAAUAAGCACCGGCUAACUCUGUGCCAGCCGCCGCGGUAA
This 501-nucleotide ribosomal RNA is filed under the name uncultured bacterium. RNAcentral's name for it is "partial 16S ribosomal RNA". It matches the Rfam family "Bacterial small subunit ribosomal RNA", at positions 30 to 523 of the family's 1533-position model. The record is from RNAcentral.